ACACUCACAAAGAGCCGAGGGGAGAGAGGGUGCGCAGACGGCCAGCCGGGCCGCGCCAGGGACAUACUGGAGACAGGAAGUGGCUGAGAGGGGGAGAGAGUUGGAGAGAGACGGCCGCGGAGGACACGGGGACGGGAAAGUCUGAGAGACGGGGAGAGCCUGACCCGGCGGGACACAGGCAGAAAGAAACACGCGAGCCAGACAGACGCAGAAGAAACGUGCCUGGUACUGGAUAGGAACUUCAUGGAAUGGAGCUAAUGGGCCGUAGGGCAGGUUUGAGUCGUGCCACCCUGGAGCAGAAGGUGGAGGGUAGGGAUAAGGGGGUGGAGCACCUGAUUCCAAUCUUGCCACAGGGAAGAAGAGUCUGUGAAGAAGGUGGAGAGAAACUAGGAGAAAAGCACAGGAUGUAGAGGUCUAUUCGGCAUAAUCUUCUCCCUCAUUUUCAUCUUCACCAUCAACAGAGAGAGCAGCAUACUUGCUUGCAGAACUGAACUUCUGUAACACAACGAGAGUGACAGGAUAAUGAAGGCCCUGAAUUAUCACAUCAAAACCCAAGACACAGGAUACUGAUCCUUUGGCAAUGGGGGAUGACAGUCAGAUGACACCCACUUGCUUGCUCAUCAGCAUUGUCCAUUGGAGAGGAGCUAGGGAAGAGGGUCAGAGGCACAUGCGAUCUUACUAUAGUCUCAUACCACCUCUACACCUUGCAGAAGGGAUGAGAACAAAGGAAGACAGAAACCAGGAAAAAGCUAAACUUCUUUCGCUAUUUCAGUAAAGACCAAUGUCUUAUUUCCAAACACUUUGUAUUCCAAAUGGAAAGAAGUCCAACGGCAAAAAGUUUAGAAUACUAAGAAUUUUUAAUUCUUAGUAAGAAUACUUAGAAUUCUAAGAAUUUUUCUUAGAAUGAAAAAUUGGGAGCAGCCUUCAACACUUACGGAAGCUGGAUUUUCCUCAGGUUUCUUUGGCUCAGGUGCAGAUCUGGAGUCUUGAUCCUUUUUGCCAUCUUUCCUGCAGAGACGUAAGCAUAAAACCAUGUCUUUAGGAAAGGACUCGCCUAAUACAAACAUGUGUAUGCAUGCAGUUUCAAGGCACUGAACAGGCACCUCUAGUCAACAGUCCUUGUUGUCUGGAUGAUGUAUUACUUCUAGAUUUUCAGAAUCUUAACUGUCUACGUUGGCUGACUUUAGUUUGCUCACAAUGAGCGAUCUGGCAGUGCUCUGAGAACCAAGAACUUAAUUUCUUAAUUACACAAACAUGUGGAUCAGAGGAAAGAUGAGAAAGAGAACAAGCAUACCUAUCUGACUCCUUCCAGUGGUCUCUGUUCCCUCCGUCGCCUGGACCACGGCUAGAGUUCCCAGUUUGGCCUUUUGGGGCAUUCAUCCCAUCUACUUUAUUUUCAUCUGCUUGGGCAGUAAUGUAAACAAAUUAAAGGCAAGUAAAAGUAUCAAUGUCCCUCUCCUAAGAUUUCCCUUAAGCUGAAGAAAAUUGUGCCCACAUGUACUGAGGGAAACUAACCUCACCCCAACCCAGACUUCCUUCCUGAAGCCCUUCUUUCCACAUCCUCUACAGCACACAAAAAUACAAAAAACAAACAAAAUCCACUAAAAAGUUCCAUGUAGGGAUAUGCCAUCAUGAAAAGCAAGCUGGAAAUAAAGAUUAUGACGCUCUGUAGUGA
This is a long non-coding RNA of Homo sapiens (human), 1675 nucleotides long. Ensembl annotates it as TNS2 antisense RNA 1. Its record names the gene TNS2-AS1. The record is from Ensembl. Lineage: Eukaryota; Metazoa; Chordata; Mammalia; Primates; Hominidae.